Molecule: non-coding RNA, 330 nt
Organism: Malaclemys terrapin pileata
Lineage: Eukaryota; Metazoa; Chordata; Testudines; Emydidae
Source: the annotation of a RefSeq genome assembly
AUGGUGUUAGGUGUCCGGUCCCAGGCGCUGGUGGAGUCCGGAGGGGAUGUGAAAAAGCCCGGAGACUCUCUCCGCCUCUCCUGCAAAGCCUCCGGGUUCACCUUCACCAGCUACUACAUGGAUUGGGUCCGACAGGCUCCUGGCAAGGGUCUGGAGUGGGUGGCUGAGAUUAACUCGGAUGGAUCGAGCCAGUGGUACUCCCCGGCUGUUCAAGGGCGAUUCACCAUCUCCAGGGACAAUCCCAACAACCUGCUGUAUCUGCAAAUGACCGGCCUGAAGCCCGAGGACACCGCCCGGUAUUACUGUGCUAGACAAACAGAUGACGAUGGU